GGGGGGGGUGUCUUUCUGCCACACUAAUAAAAAGGGCUGGGAACAAUGCGCCCAUGGGUCCUCCAUCUUUCCAGAGCCCCUCUACCUUCUCACAAGGCUGCCGUGAGGUGAGCAAUGUUCUCCACCGUGCCCUUCACCAUGAUGCUUCUGCCUUGGAUCCUGCUCUCCAUGGACUGAAACCAUGUUGUUUAUGUCAGUGUGAAUCCAGGUGAACAUCCAGAUCUCAGCUGUACUGACUUAUAACCAACCCUCCCUCGGGAACUAAUGGAGUUCUUAACAAGAAAUUCAGGAGAAGUGAAAGGAAAAUUAUACUAGAAGAAAACAGAUAAAUCCUUUAAGUGGGACAAUCUUCAAG
This 355-nucleotide long non-coding RNA is filed under the name Heterocephalus glaber (naked mole-rat). RNAcentral's name for it is "lncRNA (ENSHGLG00100034206.1)". Lineage: Eukaryota; Metazoa; Chordata; Mammalia; Rodentia; Bathyergidae. The record is from RNAcentral.